Molecule: non-coding RNA, 94 nt
Organism: Mycena rebaudengoi
Lineage: Eukaryota; Fungi; Basidiomycota; Agaricomycetes; Agaricales; Mycenaceae
Source: the annotation of a GenBank genome assembly
UCGGAUGUGGUGUACGGUGCACAUCAGCUGUGUAUACACAAUAAUGCAUCUGACAUGCAAGCUGAAAGCCAGGGUUCGACUCCCUGCAUCCGAG